GUUGUAUGGUUAAGUGACUAAGCGUACACGGUGGAUGCCUUGGCAGUCAGAGGCGAUGAAAGACGUAGUAACUUGCGAUAAGCCCAGAUUAGGUAGUAACAACCAUUUGAGUCUGGGAUUUCUGAAUGGGGAAACCCACGUGCAUAAGCACGUAUCCUUACCUGAAUACAUAGGGUAAGGAGGCGAACCGGGGGAACUGAAACAUCUAAGUACCCCGAGGAAAAGAAAUCAACCGAGAUUCCGAAAGUAGCGGCGAGCGAAAUUGGACUAGCCCUUAAGCUUUACACGCGUUAGACGAACGGUCUGGAAAGUCCGACGAUACAGGGUGAUAGUCCCGUAGUUGACGACGUGUGUUCAGUGAAAUCGAGUAGGGCGGGACACGUGAUAUCCUGUCUGAAUAUGGGGGGACCAUCCUCCAAGGCUAAAUACUACUGACUGACCGAUAGUGAACCAGUACCGUGAGGGAAAGGCGAAAAGAACCCCUGUGAGGGGAGUGAAAUAGAACCUGAAACCGUGUACGUACAAGCAGUAGGAGCAGGCUUUGUCCUGUGACUGCGUACCUUUUGUAUAAUGGGUCAGCGACUUAUAUUCAGUGGCAAGGUUAACCAUCUAGGGGAGCCGUAGGGAAACCGAGUCUUAACUGGGCGUUCAGUCUCUGGAUAUAGACCCGAAACCAGGUGAUCUAGCCAUGGGCAGGUUGAAGGUUGAGUAACAUCAACUGGAGGACCGAACCGACUAAUGUUGAAAAAUUAGCGGAUGACUUGUGGCUAGGGGUGAAAGGCCAAUCAAACCUGGAGAUAGCUGGUUCUCCCCGAAAGCUAUUUAGGUAGCGCCUCGGACGAAUACUACUGGGGGUAGAGCACUGUUAAGGCUAGGGGGUCAUCCCGACUUACCAACCCUUUGCAAACUCCGAAUACCAGUAAGUACUAUCCGGGAGACACACGGCGGGUGCUAACGUCCGUCGUGGAGAGGGAAACAACCCAGACCGCCAGCUAAGGUCCCAAAUUACUACUAAGUGGGAAACGAUGUGGGAAGGCUCAGACAGCCAGGAUGUUGGCUUAGAAGCAGCCAUCAUUUAAAGAAAGCGUAAUAGCUCACUGGUCGAGUCGGCCUGCGCGGAAGAUGUAACGGGGCUAAGUAGUAAACCGAAGCUGCGGCAAUAUACUUUUGUAUAUUGGGUAGGGGAGCGUUCUGUAAGCGGUUGAAGGUGUGUGGUAACGCAUGCUGGACGUAUCAGAAGUGCGAAUGCUGACAUGAGUAACGAUAAAGGGGGUGAAAAACCUCCUCGCCGGAAGACCAAGGGUUCCUGUCCAACGUUAAUCGGGGCAGGGUAAGUCGACCCCUAAGGCGAGGCCGAAAGGCGUAGUCGAUGGGAAACGGGUUAAUAUUCCCGUACUUCUUACAAUUGCGAUGGGGGGACGGAGAAGGCUAGGUGGGCCUGGCGACGGUUGUCCAGGUUCAAGUGCGUAGGCUUAAGAGUUAGGUAAAUCCGGCUCUUUCUAAGGCUGAGACACGACGUCGAGCAUCUACGGAUGUGAAGUCAUUGAUGCCAUGCUUCCAGGAAAAGCCUCUAAGCUUCAGAUUGUAAGGAAUCGUACCCCAAACCGACACAGGUGGUCGGGUAGAGAAUACCAAGGCGCUUGAGAGAACUCGGGUGAAGGAACUAGGCAAAAUGGUACCGUAACUUCGGGAGAAGGUACGCUCUCGACGGUGAAGUCCCUUGCGGAUGGAGCUAUUGAGAGUCGCAGAUACCAGGUGGCUGCAACUGUUUAUUAAAAACACAGCACUGUGCAAAAUCGUAAGAUGACGUAUACGGUGUGACGCCUGCCCGGUGCCGGAAGGUUAAUUGAUGGGGUUAGACUUCGGUCGAAGCUCUUGAUCGAAGCCCCGGUAAACGGCGGCCGUAACUAUAACGGUCCUAAGGUAGCGAAAUUCCUUGUCGGGUAAGUUCCGACCUGCACGAAUGGCGUAAUGAUGGCCACGCUGUCUCCACCCGAGACUCAGUGAAAUUGAAAUCGCUGUGAAGAUGCAGUGUACCCGCGGCUAGACGGAAAGACCCCGUGAACCUUUACUACAGCUUGGCACUGAACAUUGACCCUACAUGUGUAGGAUAGGUGGGAGGCUUUGAAGCACGUACGCCAGUAUGUGUGGAGCCGUCCUUGAAAUACCACCCUUGUAGUGUUGAUGUUCUAACGUCGACCCCUUAUCGGGGUUGCGGACAGUGCCUGGUGGGUAGUUUGACUGGGGCGGUCUCCUCCCAAAGAGUAACGGAGGAGCACGAAGGUGGGCUAAUCACGGUUGGACAUCGUGAGGUUAGUGCAAUGGCAUAAGCCCGCUUGACUGCGAGAAUGACAAUUCGAGCAGGUGCGAAAGCAGGUCAUAGUGAUCCGGUGGUUCUGAAUGGAAGGGCCAUCGCUCAACGGAUAAAAGGUACUCCGGGGAUAACAGGCUGAUACCGCCCAAGAGUUCAUAUCGACGGCGGUGUUUGGCACCUCGAUGUCGGCUCAUCACAUCCUGGGGCUGAAGUCGGUCCCAAGGGUAUGGCUGUUCGCCAUUUAAAGUGGUACGCGAGCUGGGUUUAGAACGUCGUGAGACAGUUCGGUCCCUAUCUGCCGUGGGCGUUGGAAGAUUGAAGGGGGCUGCUCCUAGUACGAGAGGACCGGAGUGGACGAACCUCUGGUGUUCGGGUUGUGUCGCCAGACGCAUUGCCCGGUAGCUAAGUUCGGAAUCGAUAACCGCUGAAAGCAUCUAAGCGGGAAGCGAGCCCUGAGAUGAGUCUUCCCUGAUACUUUAAGUAUCCUAAAGGGUUGUCGGAGACUACGACGUUGAUAGGUCAGGUGUGUAAGUGCUGUGAGGCAUUGAGCUAACUGAUACUAAUUGCCCGUGAGGCUUAACCAUACAACACCCAAGGGGUUU
RNAcentral lists this ribosomal RNA (2916 nucleotides) under Vibrio parahaemolyticus. Its description in RNAcentral is "bacterial LSU rRNA". It matches the Rfam family "Bacterial large subunit ribosomal RNA". Lineage: Bacteria; Pseudomonadati; Pseudomonadota; Gammaproteobacteria; Vibrionales; Vibrionaceae. The record is from RNAcentral.